This 484-nucleotide ribosomal RNA is filed under the name uncultured bacterium. RNAcentral describes it as "bacterial SSU rRNA". It matches the Rfam family "Bacterial small subunit ribosomal RNA", at positions 31 to 507 of the family's 1533-position model. The record is from RNAcentral.
GAACGCUGGCGGCAUGCCUAACACAUGCAAGUCGAACGGCAGCACAGCAGUAGCAAGUACUGUGGGUGGCGAGUGGCGGACGGGUGAGGAAUACGUCGGAAUCUGCCCAGUCUGGGGGAUAACUAGCCGAAAGGUUAGCUAAUACCGCAUACGACCGAGAGGUGAAAGCGGGGACCGCAAGGCCUCGCGCGAUUGGAUGAGCCGACGUCGGAUUAGCUAGUUGGCGGGUAAAGGCCCACCAAGGCGACGAUCCGUAGCUGGUCUGAGAGGAUGAUCAGCCACACUGGAACUGAGACACGGUCCAGACUCCUACGGAGGCAGCAGUGGGGAAUAUUGGACAAUGGGCGCAAGCCUGAUCCAGCAAUGCCGCGUGUGUGAAGAAGGCCUUCGGGUUGUAAAGCACUUUUAUCAGGAACGAAAAGCGUUGGAUUAAUACUCUGACGUGCUGACGGUACCUGAGGAAUAAGCACCGGCUAACUUCGUG